UUCUCCUGGAAACGGGUGGUAAUGCCGGAUGCUCCAGUUGACCGCAUGGUCCUCUGGGAAAGCUUUUGCGGUAUGGGAUGGGGUCGCGUCCUAUCAGCUUGAUGGCGGGGUAACGGCCCACCAUGGCUUCGACGGGUAGCCGGCCUGAGAGGGCGACCGGCCACAUUGGGACUGAGAUACGGCCCAGACUCCUACGGGAGGCAGCAGUGGGGAAUAUUGCACAAUGGGCGCAAGCCUGAUGCAGCGACGCCGCGUGCGGGAUGACGGCCUUCGGGUUGUAAACCGCUUUUGACUGGGAGCAAGCCCUUCGGGGUGAGUGUACCUUUCGAAUAAGCACCGGCUAACUACGUGCCAGCAGCCGCGGUAAUACGUAGGGUGCAAGCGUUAUCCGGAAUUAUUGGGCGUAAAGGGCUCGUAGGCGGUUCGUCGCGUCCGGUGUGAAAGUCCAUCGCUUAACGGUGGAUCCGCGCCGGGUACGGGCGGGCUUGAGUGCGGUAGGGGAGACUGGAAUUCCCGGUGUAACGGUGGAAUGUGUAGAUAUCGGGAAGAACACCA
RNAcentral lists this ribosomal RNA (555 nucleotides) under Bifidobacterium adolescentis. RNAcentral's name for it is "partial 16S ribosomal RNA". It matches the Rfam family "Bacterial small subunit ribosomal RNA", at positions 145 to 711 of the family's 1533-position model. Lineage: Bacteria; Bacillati; Actinomycetota; Actinomycetes; Bifidobacteriales; Bifidobacteriaceae. The record is from RNAcentral.